Molecule: ribosomal RNA, 253 nt
Filed under: uncultured bacterium
Lineage: Bacteria
Description: partial 16S ribosomal RNA
Rfam family: Bacterial small subunit ribosomal RNA
Source: RNAcentral
UACGGAGGGUGCAAGCGUUGCUCGGAAUUAUUGGGCGUAAAGGGUGUGUAGGCGGUUGUUUAAGUUUGGUGUGAAAUCUCCCGGCUCAACUGGGAGGGUGCGCCGAAUACUGAAUGACUAGAGUGCGGGAGAGGAAAGUGGAAUUCCUGGUGUAGCGGUGAAAUGCGUAGAGAUGUGGAGGAACACCGAUGGCGAAGGCAGCCUUCUGGGCCAACACUGACGCUCAUGCACGAAAGCGUGGGGAGCAAACAGG